GAUGAAGAACGCAGCGAAUUGCGAUAUGUAAUGUGAAUUGCAGAAUUCAGUGAAUCAUCGAAUCUUUGAACGCACAUUGCGCCCCUUGGUAUUCCGGGGGGCAUGCCUGUUCGAGCGUCAUUAUAACCCCUCAAGCUCAGCUUGGUGUUGGGGCCUGCCGACUGGCAGCCCUUAAAAUCAGUGGCGGCGCCAUCUGGCUCUAAGCGUAGUAAUUUCUCUCGCUAUAGAGUCCCGGUGGAUGCUUGCCAGCAACCCCCAACUUUCUAUGGUUGACCUCGGAUCAGGUAGGGAUACCCGCUGAACUUAAGCAUAUCAAUAAGCGGAGGA
This 327-nucleotide unclassified non-coding RNA is filed under the name soil metagenome. RNAcentral describes it as "partial contains 5.8S ribosomal RNA, internal transcribed spacer 2, and large subunit ribosomal RNA". The stretch from base 1 to 120 matches the Rfam family "5.8S ribosomal RNA", at positions 35 to 154 of the family's 154-position model. The record is from RNAcentral.